This 3289-nucleotide long non-coding RNA is filed under the name Ananas comosus (pineapple). Its description in RNAcentral is "long non-coding RNA (ACOM_LNC029983)". Lineage: Eukaryota; Viridiplantae; Streptophyta; Magnoliopsida; Poales; Bromeliaceae. The record is from RNAcentral.
GCCUACAUAUCACAUAGAAAAUAGAAUCAUAAAACCAUAUAAAUUGUCACUCAAAAAAGGACCAUAAAAAAAUUUCCCAAUCAAUUGUACUUUGCACAUGAGGCUAAAGCAUCUAAGAGCAAUUAAAGAUCUAAUCAGGAAGAUUUAGAUGAAUAGAACUUGGAGCCUCACGCGGUAAUGCAUCAAUUAGGUUUGUCCAAGGAGGCUGAAAUCUGAUUCUGCUCAAAUAAUAAGAUCGACCAAGGAAAGGGUACUGUGCGCACUGGAAGGCCAAUUUGUCACAAACCCUAAUUUCCUUGAGAAUAAGGAAAGAGCUAUCAAUCAAGAGUAUUCAACAAAGGGAAUGGCAGAUACAGCAGACAGAGGUUGAGUCACCCAUCCCAAAAUGAACUGACCGGGUGCAGUAUAAUGCAUAUAUUCAAUAAACUUACUGAAAGUUUGACUUGUAAAAGCCCUUUAGAAGAGAAAAAUGAAAUAAACAGAUAGCAAAUUAUAACUAGGACAUAGCCAGUAGACUGAAAAAUAGAUGUUUACGAGAGCAAGCCAAACUGAAUAGCAAGAUAUAAUUCAGCAAUAUACAUCGUAUACUUCCAUUAAAAUAAGUCUUGGAGGUUUACGAGAACAAACAGAACUAAACAACAAGAUAUGAUUCAGCACAUAUGCUGAAUAUAUUUCAUCAAACUAUUUGGUAGCAAAUAAGACUUGGUAAAUUAACUACAUAGCUGAUUGAACUAUAAUGCAAGCUGUACAAUUCUAAAUCUAUUACAAUUAAAGAAAAACAAACACUACGGAACUUUACAGAUAACAACAACAGCAUCAACAAUAACAACAAAUAAGCUUUAAUCACAAACGUGUGCAAUAAAAGAACGAGGUAAGAGGUCAACAUCACCUAUCGGAAAGGGUAGGUCUUUUGCAAGAAAGCUUUCGAUAGUCUUCCCAUACAAAUAGCAAGUUAGCUAUGGAUGGUUUCCUUCUGCCAGAUCAUAACGAAUCCUUUCAAAAUAAAAAGAGCAAGAAGAGAAGACUUAGAUGAAAGAAACCAGAGAGACAGUGAUAAAGGGCUAAGAAAUUUAAGACAAGGAAACAAAUAGGAAAUAACAAUCUUGUUAAAAUAUGAACUCAAAGCACGAAUCGUUCUUGAUGCUGAUAGAGUUGAUCUUGAUCCAUUGAUUGCAGGAAAUAUCGAGUGGAAAUUCGAAAUGCAACAUGAAAGAAGUCGAGAAUGAGCGAUCGCCAAGGAAAUGUGCGGAAUAAGAGACGCAUCGAAUCAGAAAGAUCGUGGAUUUCAUCAUACAGAUAUAGCACCUAUGAACUAAAUUGCAGGAUUUUAAGAUCGAUCAACGCGAGAGAUCGCUUACCUCUUCGGAUCAACGCUCUUGGGUUUCUAGAUUGGAGGAACCAAAGGGCUUCGCUCUGAGGUUUCUCGAUUGGAGGAGCAGAGAGAUCGGAGGGGAAAGAAGCGGAUCGAAAGGUCGCUCUAGGGUUUUUCGAUUGGAGGAAUAGGGUAAAGAUUCGAAAGAAAGGAGACGAGGGUAUUUGGCGGGGGCGAAAAAGAGGGAGGGAGAUGGGAGAUGGAGAUAGAGAGAGAAGAGCGACGCACGCAAGCGAGGGAUUGCGGUUGGCUUGGCCUCCAACGGCAAGAGUAAACGGAAGCUUUCUUGUUGGAUGAAGGCCCAAGCCCGUCCUUUCAAUUUAAUUGGUUAGCUGGGCUACGGUCUCUAAGACAAUAAGUUUGUGCAGCCCUACCCAACAAGCCUACAACGUCAUUCAUUAGGCUGUCUCAAUUUUUUAUUUUGCUUACGUGUCACAAUUAUUUUUCAAUUUUAGUUUGAAGGUUUAUUAUUUGAAAAAAUUGAGCAUGAAUGAAGCUUUGCAUUAAAAAAUUUAUAAUUUAAAAAUAUAUUACUUUCCAAUUUUGAUAAAUUAAUUAAUUUCUGUGAGUAUAAUCAUCUAAUUUGGUAUAUGAUUUAAAACAUUGGAUUCAGUCCGGCCAACAAAAUAUCGGGCGAACAAACUGGGCCUAUGCACUCAGCCCAAAAGAAAAAGAGUCCAUGAAACAGUCCACUCAGCACAAGCUCUCACCAUGACGAGAGAGUAAGAAAUUUCAACAUGAGGCCUGCUACUAAAUAAAUUCCGGCCCAAUUAUUUUAAAAUACAUCAUACACUUCCAUCAAAAUAAAUAUUGGGGUUACGAGAACAAAUAGAACUAAACAACUAGAUAUGACUCAGCACAUAUACUAGAUAUAUUUCAUCAAACCAAUUGAAAAUUAAAGGUUUACGAGAGCAGAAUGAGCUAAUUGGACAAGAGGAUAUAAUUCAUCACACAAGUACACAACAAAUCAUCCAACUAACUCAUAAUUUGGAGGUUCAUGGGAGUCGCAUAAAUUUUAUCAAACUAACUGCAACUUUGUGGUUUAAGAGAACAAAUUGAACUGAGCAGCAAGACAUGAUUCAACAAUAUGCAGCAUAUAUCUUCAUCAAACUGAAUACUCUUGAGUUUUACGUGAGCAAAAUGAACAAACGAAACAGUAAGAUAUGAUUCGAUCAGCACAUAUACAACAUAGUUUACCAUGAUCUAGCUAAAAAAUAGAGGCUUUUGAGAGCAAAGUUAACUGAAGUGCAAGAUAUGAUUCAGCACCUAUACAACAAAUAUUUCCAUCGAAAUCAAAAAUAUAUAUUUUGGGGAGCAAAAUGAACCAAAAAGAGGCCUACACAUCACAUAGAAAUUCGAAUAAUAAAACCAUAUAAAUUGUCACUCAAAGGACCAUAAAAAAAAAAAUGCCAAUCAAAAAAGCAUACAUAUCGUAAAAUCAAUGGUACUUUGCACAUGAGGCUAAAGCAUCUAAGAGCAAUUAAAGAUCUAAUCUAGAAGAUUUAGAUGAAUAGAACUCGGAGCCUCACGCGGUAAUGCAUCAAUUAGGUUUGUCCAAGGAGGGUGAAAUCUGAUUGUGCUAAAAUACUAGGAUUCACCUACGAAAGUGUACUGUGCACACUGAAAGACCAAUUUUUCAUAAACUCUAAUUUCCUUGAGAAUAAGAAAAGAGCUAUCAGUCAAGGGUAUCUAACAAAGGGAAUGGCAGAUGCAGCAGACAGAGGUUGAGCCACCCAUCCCAUUAUACUAGCAAAAUGAACUGACUGGGCGCAUUAUAAUGCAUAUAUUCAUUAAAGUUAGUGAAAGUUUGACUUUUAGAAGCCUUUUAGAAGAGCAAAAUGAAAUAAACAGAUAGCAAAUUAUAAUUAGAACAUAGCCAGUAGAUAUUUUCAUCAUACUGACUGAAAGAUAGAUGUU